GAUGAACGCUGGCGGCGUGCCUAACACAUGCAAGUCGAGCGAUUUACUUCGGUAAAGAGCGGCGCACGGGUGAGUAACGCGUGGGUAACCUGCCCAAGAGUGGGGUAUAACUCGCCGAAAGGCGGGCUAAUCCCGCAUACGUCCAACGGACUCAAGUCUGUUGGGGAAAGAUGGCCUCUGCUUGCAAGCUAUUGCUCUUGGAUGGGCCCGCGUUGGAUUAGCUAGUUGGUGAGGUAAUGGCUCACCAAGGCUUCGAUCCAUAGCUGGUUUGAGAGGACGACCAGCCACACUGGAACUGAGACACGGUCCAGACUCCUACGGGAGGCAGCAGUAAGGAAUAUUGGACAAUGGGGGCAACCCUGAUCCAGCAAUGCCG
This 376-nucleotide ribosomal RNA is filed under the name uncultured bacterium. Its description in RNAcentral is "bacterial SSU rRNA". It matches the Rfam family "Bacterial small subunit ribosomal RNA", at positions 28 to 399 of the family's 1533-position model. The record is from RNAcentral.